This 260-nucleotide ribosomal RNA is filed under the name uncultured bacterium. RNAcentral describes it as "partial 16S ribosomal RNA". It matches the Rfam family "Bacterial small subunit ribosomal RNA", at positions 94 to 354 of the family's 1533-position model. The record is from RNAcentral.
AGUGGCGGACGGGUGAGUAACGCGUGGGCAACCUGCCCCAUACAGGGGGAUAACAGCCGGAAACGGCUGCUAAUACCGCAUAAGCGCACGGGACCGCAUGGUUCUGUGUGAAAAACAAUAGUGGUAUGGGAGGGGCCCGCGUCUGAUUAGCCAGUUGGCGGGGUAGAGGCCCACCAAAGCGACGAUCAGUAGCCGGCCUGAGAGGGCGGACGGCCACAUUGGGACUGAGACACGGCCCAAACUCCUACGGAAGGCAGCAG